Molecule: ribosomal RNA, 484 nt
Filed under: uncultured bacterium
Lineage: Bacteria
Description: partial 16S ribosomal RNA
Rfam family: Bacterial small subunit ribosomal RNA
Source: RNAcentral
AUUGAACGCUGGCGGCAGGCCUAACACAUGCAAGUAGAGCGGAUGAAGGGAGCUUGCUCCUGGAUUCAGCGGCGGACGGGUGAGUAAUGCCUAGGAAUCUGCCUGGUAGUGGGGGAUAACGUCCGGAAACGGGCGCUAAUACCGCAUACGUCCUGAGGGAGAAAGUGGGGGAUCUUCGGACCUCACGCUAUCAGAUGAGCCUAGGUCGGAUUAGCUAGUUGGUGGGGUAAAGGCCUACCAAGGCGACGAUCCGUAACUGGUCUGAGAGGAUGAUCAGUCACACUGGAACUGAGACACGGUCCAGACUCCUACGGGAGGCAGCAGUGGGGAAUAUUGGACAAUGGGCGAAAGCCUGAUCCAGCCAUGCCGCGUGUGUGAAGAAGGUCUUCGGAUUGUAAAGCACUUUUAGUUGGGAGGAAGGGCAGUAAGUUAAUACCUUGCUGUUUUGACGUUACCAACAGAAUAAGCACCGGCUAACUUCGUG